RNAcentral lists this ribosomal RNA (621 nucleotides) under uncultured Vibrio sp. RNAcentral describes it as "bacterial SSU rRNA". It matches the Rfam family "Bacterial small subunit ribosomal RNA", at positions 71 to 670 of the family's 1533-position model. The record is from RNAcentral. Lineage: Bacteria; Pseudomonadati; Pseudomonadota; Gammaproteobacteria; Vibrionales; Vibrionaceae.
AGAAGUAGCUUGCUACUUCGGCGUCGAGCGGCGGACGGGUGAGUAAUGCCUGGGAAAUUGCCUUGAUGUGGGGGAUAACCAUUGGAAACGAUGGCUAAUACCGCAUAAUGCUUUUGUUUGUAAUGAACGGGAGCCAAAGAGGGGGACCUUCGGGCCUCUCGCGUCAAGAUAUGCCCAGGUGGGAUUAGCUAGUUGGUGAGGUAAUGGCUCACCAAGGCGACGAUCCCUAGCUGGUCUGAGAGGAUGAUCAGCCACACUGGAACUGAGACACGGUCCAGACUCCUACGGGAGGCAGCAGUGGGGAAUAUUGCACAAUGGGCGCAAGCCUGAUGCAGCCAUGCCGCGUGUAUGAAGAAGGCCUUCGGGUUGUAAAGUACUUUCAGCAGUGAGGAAGGUGGAUGUGUUAAUAGCACAUUCACUUGACGUUAGCUGCAGAAGAAGCACCGGCUAACUCCGUGCCAGCAGCCGCGGUAAUACGGAGGGUGCGAGCGUUAAUCGGAAUUACUGGGCGUAAAGCGCAUGCAGGUGGAUGAUUAAGUCAGAUGUGAAAGCCCGGGGCUCAACCUCGGAAUAGCAUUUGAAACUGGUCAUCUAGAGUACUGUAGAGGGGGGUAGAAUUUC